RNAcentral lists this ribosomal RNA (266 nucleotides) under uncultured Staphylococcus sp. Its description in RNAcentral is "partial 16S ribosomal RNA". It matches the Rfam family "Bacterial small subunit ribosomal RNA", at positions 96 to 356 of the family's 1533-position model. The record is from RNAcentral. Lineage: Bacteria; Bacillati; Bacillota; Bacilli; Caryophanales; Staphylococcaceae.
CGGCGGACGGGUGAGUAACACGUGUGUAACCUACCUAUAAGACUGGGAUAACUUCGGGAAACCGGAGCUAAUACCGGAUAAUAUUUCGAACCGCAUGGUUCGAUAGUGAAAGAUGGUUUUGCUAUCACUUAUAGAUGGACCUGCGCCGUAUUAGCUAGUUGGUAAGGUAACGGCUUACCAAGGCGACGAUACGUAGCCGACCUGAGAGGGUGAUCGGCCACACUGGAACUGAGACACGGUCCAGACUCCUACGGGAGGCAGCAGCG